Non-coding RNA from Pluteus cervinus, 72 nucleotides. The record is from the annotation of a GenBank genome assembly. Lineage: Eukaryota; Fungi; Basidiomycota; Agaricomycetes; Agaricales; Pluteaceae.
UCGUUGGUGGUAUAGUGGAGAUCAUAACCGAAAACAAACCGGUGAACGAGGGUUCGAAUCCCUCCUGGCGAA